This 73-nucleotide transfer RNA is filed under the name Athene brama. Its description in RNAcentral is "tRNA-Trp". It matches the Rfam family "tRNA". Rfam says of the family: Transfer RNA (tRNA) molecules are approximately 80 nucleotides in length. Their secondary structure includes four short double-helical elements and three loops (D, anti-codon, and T loops). Lineage: Eukaryota; Metazoa; Chordata; Aves; Strigiformes; Strigidae. The record is from RNAcentral.
AGAAACUUAGGAUGACAACCCAAACCGGAGGCCUUCAAAGCCUCAAACAAGAGAUAAAACCUCUUAGUUUCUG